ACUCCUACGGGAGGCAGCAGUGGGGAAUAUUGCACAAUGGGGCGCAAGCCUGAUGCAGCCAUGCCGCGUGUGUAGAAGAAUGGGCCUUUCGGGUUGAUAAAGCACUUUUCAGUAGGGAGGAAGGUAGUGUAGUUAACACCUGCAUUAUUUGACGUUACCUACAGAAGAAGCACCGGCUAACUCCGUGCCAGCAGCCGCGGUAAUACGGAGGGUGCGAGCGUUAAUCGGAAUUACUGGGCGUAAAGCGCAUGCAGGCGG
This 258-nucleotide ribosomal RNA is filed under the name uncultured bacterium. RNAcentral describes it as "partial 16S ribosomal RNA". It matches the Rfam family "Bacterial small subunit ribosomal RNA", at positions 335 to 578 of the family's 1533-position model. The record is from RNAcentral.